AGGAACUGGCUCUUUAAGAAUAAAGAACACGGAAAAGUCAGUGCUGCAGCAAGUCUGGGUAUGAUUAUGCUUUGGGAUGUUGAUUCUGGACUUGCCCAACUUGACAAGUAUUUCCACAGUAAUGACAACCAUGUCAUAGCCGAUGCAUUGUUGGGAGUUGGUAUUGUGAACUGCGAUAUCAAGAAUGACUGUGAUCCUGUGAGUUCUACUUUGGCAUUUUCUGUACACAAGUCCUGUGACUGUUAUGUAUUUGGAAAUCCUAAAUUUUCUUUUUUCAGGCAUUGGCAUUUCUUGCUGAUUAAAUAGAUAAAGAGGAUUCUUCUGUCAGAAUUGGUGCAAUAAUGGGUCUAGGCCUUGCUUAUGCUGGUGCCCAAAAUGAGCAGAUCCGUAGUAAAUUGACUCCUAUCCUUGGAGAUAACAAAGUGCCUCUUGAUAUGAUUGCGUUCACUGCUAUUUCAUUGGGCUUCGUAUAUGUUGGUUCCUGUAAUGAAGAGGUUGCUCUGGCAAUUAUAUUUGCAUUAACGGACCAAAGCGUUUUGUACAUCACCAAAUGGGGUCAGAUUGGCACGAAACUUGGCACA
Molecule: non-coding RNA, 581 nt
Organism: Camellia sinensis
Lineage: Eukaryota; Viridiplantae; Streptophyta; Magnoliopsida; Ericales; Theaceae
Source: RefSeq, a predicted model, not a curated record